CCCCAACAAGUACUGUCAAGUCUCUGCAUUAGUACUGUGAUCUUCGUGGAACUAUCAAAAGCAUAGUUAGGGUCAGUUUGGCAGGGCUUCGGCUCUGGCUCCUCUGGUGGAGUGGCUUCUCCGGCUCUAGCUCCUCCUUUUGGAAAAUCAUUUUGCAAAACGGCUCUUCUAUGUAGUUUAAAAUGGUUAGAUAAGAUGAAGUACCCAUAAUACCCUUUUCUUUU
RNAcentral lists this long non-coding RNA (224 nucleotides) under Setaria italica (foxtail millet). RNAcentral describes it as "long non-coding RNA (SITA_LNC004626)". The record is from RNAcentral. Lineage: Eukaryota; Viridiplantae; Streptophyta; Magnoliopsida; Poales; Poaceae.